GAAACCCAUAAUCGUUCUAGACCU
RNAcentral lists this non-coding RNA (24 nucleotides) under Arabidopsis thaliana (thale cress). The record is from RNAcentral. Lineage: Eukaryota; Viridiplantae; Streptophyta; Magnoliopsida; Brassicales; Brassicaceae.